CUUGUUUCUUCUUUUUGGAUUACAACGGGAAAGGUCCAAAUUCUGAGGAACAGCUGGUGGACAGGCAUCAUUUUGGGAAAGCACACUUUUAUCUUCUGAAAUACUUACAGUGCCAGUCACUGCAGGAGAACCAUCAGAUGAUUUUCUACACUACAGAAUGGUGACCAUGAAAGAGGAUAAAAGCAUCUUGGAUCUAUGUUCUUGAAACAUUACUUUGGCCACUGAUCUCAAGGAGCGGACACUGAUGAUGUAUAAAGUGAAUUUUCUGGAAGGAGAAAAAUGGUACCCAAAGAAAGACAGCAACACAGUAUCACUGGUAGGAGUCUGACUUACAUACAUAAAUGUGGAUUAUGCCCAAAUCCAGAUUCCCAAGUAAGAAUCGAAAGGCUGAAAUUAAUGCAUGGCAUUCCCACUAAUCUACCCGCCAUUGAUUUAACUUUUGUAUUUGUUUCUUAAGAUCUUUGUUAAUGUUUUUUGAACUGCUGCUCUUUUAUCUUAGAUAACUAAACUUAAAAUCAUUAUGUUGGGGAAAUAUUAUUUUAAGAUGUGUUGCUUUUUUAUGCUACAUGUCUUUAACAACAUGAAGCUGUGAUCACCUGAUGGUACUAAUAAAGAGCUGAAUGGCCAAUAGUGAGGCAGGAGCAUGAAUAGGUGGGGCUGGCAGGCAAGGAGUAUAAAUAGAAGGAGAACAAGGAAGAGGGGAGCAACAAGAGAACAAAGGGUGGAGGAUGUCAGGGACCAGUCACCAAGCCACCCAGCCAGUCACGAAGUAAACAGGAUAUAAGAUACAUAGAAGUAAGAAAAGGAAAAAAAUCAAGAGGCAAAAGGUAGUCAUGAUAAUUUAAGUUAAUAAAAGCUGGCAAGAAACAAGCCAAGCUAAGGUUGGGCACUUAUAAUUAAGAAUAAGCCUCUGUGUGUGGUUUACUUGGAAGCUGGGUGGUGCCCCCUCCCCAAAGAAUAAAAAGAUCAAAAACAACCAACAACAUUUUGGUGCCCAAUGUGGGGCUGUAUCUCCAUGUAGGGUCUAAGAAAACCAAAAAAAAUUAAAAAAAAUUAUACAGCUCAUUUAAGAGCUUGUGUCUGCUGGACAGCCCUUGUCCAGCCAGUACAUUAAGUAGGAACAACAACAACAACAACAACAAAAGAAGUAAAAAUGCCUGUGGCAUCGGAAGCAUCAGCAUUCUAGAGCUCUAGGAAGGUUGAAUGCAGUUCCUCGUCUUGUAACUCCAACUUGGCACAAGCUUUAGGCUUGCCUUUCAUGACCUGAUCCAAGAGUGGCAGAGCCAGCUGCUAUGGCAAGAGGAGGCUCAGGUGUUUCUUAACAGUCUAAUGUUUGCUCAUGCAGUCAAAAAAGACUAAGAGAUACUCACCAAAAAGAUCCAGAUGGAAAAACCUUUACUCAGUGUGUUUUACAAUGUAUGUAGACUUAAGAAAGAAAGACAAAGGGUAUGGACAGUUAUAGAAAGAAAUAAGUUUAAAAAUAAAAAAUUAAAGUCUUGAAAGAGAGAGUAAAAGUAAUAAAAACAAUAAGCCACUCAGAUGGGAAAUACACAGAGAGUCUGGAUCUUGUAGGCUAUUGUGCUGAUUUUGAAUCUUUUGAAUGCUGAUAAGCAAAAAACAGCUGCUAAGAGACAUGGGAUUGAAAGGAAUUGUAGAAGUAAACCAAUCUAUAUACUUUAGGAAUGUCUUAACUUAGAAAUAGAAGUAAAAAAAUGUAUUUGUAAAAUGGAACUUAAAGGAUGCUUUACUUUGGAGAAGCAUUUUUGGUUUUUUGGGGUUUUUUUUUUGUUGUUGUUUUGUUUUGUUUUCACAGGAAACAGGAGGCUGUGAAUUUGUUCCAGAUUGAUAUGUAUCAGGGGAGACUUGACAGGUUAUAUCUAUCAACAAAGGUUACUGCUGGUCUUCCUAGGACUUGGUCAUUAGCUCAAAUUUUCUCAGGGACCCUCAAAAAGUCGUCACCCACAGUCAGCAGAGCAGUAUGGAGAAGUCUGUACCCACAUUUCCAAGAGAAAAGAGAAUGUGGAAGGUCUUUUGUUAUUUUGUGGGUCCUAUAUGUUUGCUAUCAUUUAGGGGAAUGUAGGAAUAUAGGAUAAAAAUAUCACUAUUAAUCUCAGAUAUUUUGUCUUGGCAUGGAUUUUGGUAUAUGAAUACAAAUUCAAAGUCAAUUUUGUUACACUGUAUAUAUGUUUUUACUCUUGUUUAAAGGACUUUUGUAUAAUGAUACAAAUUUAAAGUAAUUUUUAUUACAACACACUGUAUAUGUUUCUAUUCUUUAAACAAGGUUUCUAUUUUUUAAACAAGGAUUUUUGUGUAUUGAUACCAAUUUAAGUUUAUUAUGUUACAACAUAUUCUAUAUAUGUUUCUACUUUUGUUUAAGGUAUUGUACUUAGGCAAUUCAUUUAAAAAUGUAAGGUAAAAUUCUUGUUUUUGAUAGCUACAAUUAUGAACUACUUAGGACAAUCAAGAAACACAGGCCAGUAGUUAGUCCUCUAUAAUAAUCAAAAUUGUAGAUAUGCUAAGUAUGUUUUCCAUAUCAUAUAGAGAUAUAUUUUAGGUAGAUAGAUGGUCUUCAAACCUUUCAAAUACCUACAGAAUAUGGCAGUUAAAAUGUUUCAUUAAUUUAGGGGUUUUUAUGAUAAUGAGACAUAUCUGCUCCUGGAAGCACCAGUUUACUUCAGAAAAUUACUUCAGGCAUCAAAGAAGCACCUUAUGUAGUUUUCUUUCAAUGUGGCUAGCCAUUCGGGCAAGAAGCUGCUCUUGCCUGAACUGCUUGAUAAUAUGCUGUAUAAACGAGGCAUGCAGAACUCACAGGAAAGUGACUGCUAAACUUUGCCAAAACAAGGCAGGAUGGUCCUUCAGGGCUACUACUUCACAGAAGAAACUGUCAGACAUUCUGCAGGACACAGAGGAAAGUGACUGACAAACUGCCAAUAUAGGUGGGAUAGUCUGUCAAAUUUUCUGCUUCACUGAAAGGUCUCUCGGAUACUUUGGGCCUGUAGGCUGAAGAUGGAUGCCCCAACAUUGCAAAGAAAUUUGGGAUGACUGUCGCGGCAGACAGAUAUUUAUGUCAUCUCUAGAGUUUGUGGAGUUAUUUGUAAUGCACUUUUUUUUCUUACUUAAAUAAUAUUUCCUCCUGGUGCCUUUGAUGGAAUUGGAGAUUAGACAGCUAUAGAUAUAGUUUUUCUUAAAUAUGAUAAAAAGUAAGUUAAGUAUAAAAUUUUGGAUUUACCAAGAUAGGAUAGAUGAUGGAUUAUUUUCUUAAAAUUUACCAGACACAAAUAAUUUGCAAUUCAGUACUCUGUGAAUGUAAUCUUUAUUUGGUAAUUGUCUUAUUUUAUACAAUCUUACUAUGUUAAAGUUAAAACUUUUCAUUUUUGUUUAGAAAGACAAAAUGGGGAAAUUAUUUUAAGAUAUGUUGCUUUUUUAUGCUGCAUUUGAUUAACUUUGUGAAGUUGUGAUUCUUUGCCUGUCUAAAACACCUGAUGGUCUAAUAAAGAGCUGAAUGGCCAAUAGUGAGGCAGGAGCAUGAAUAGGUGGGGCUGGCAGGCAGGGAGUAUAAAUAGAAGGAGAAACAAGGAAGAGGGGAGCAACAAGAGAACAAAGGGAGGAGGAUGGUAGAGGCCAGUCACCAAGCUACCCAGCCAGCCAUGCAGUUAAGAAGAAAUGUAAAAUAUAUACAAGUAAGAAAAGAAAAAGGGGGUUCUAGGCCAGCCUGGUCUACAAGAGCUAGUUCUGGGAUGGGCACCAAAGCUACAGAGAAACCCUGUCUCGAAAACAAAAAAAAAAAAAAAAAAAAAAAAAAAAAAAAAAAAAAAAAAAGAAAAAAGAAAAAAAAAAGGCCUGGUCAAAAGGAAGCUGGGAUAAUUUAAAUGAAGAAAAGUUGGUUUGGAACAAGCCAAGCUAAAGCUGGGCACUCUUAAUUAAGAAUAAGUCUGCCAGGCAGUGUUGGCACAUGCUUUUAAUCUCAGCACUUGGGAGGCAGAGGCAGGCAGAUCUCAGUGAGUUUGAGGCCACAGCCUGGUCUACAGACUGAGUUCUAGGACAGCUAGGACUGUUUCACAGAGAAACUCUGUCUUGAAAAACAAACAAACAAAAAAGCAAAACCAAAGCCAAACAAAACACCAAAAAAAAAAAAAAAAAAAAAAGAAAAAGAAAA
This is a long non-coding RNA of Alexandromys fortis (reed vole), 4156 nucleotides long. RefSeq lists it as uncharacterized. NCBI's taxonomy places the organism in Eukaryota, Metazoa, Chordata, Mammalia, Rodentia, Cricetidae. The record is from RefSeq and is a predicted model, not a curated record. The transcript is spliced from 2 exons.